RNAcentral lists this ribosomal RNA (449 nucleotides) under uncultured organism. RNAcentral's name for it is "partial 16S ribosomal RNA". It matches the Rfam family "Bacterial small subunit ribosomal RNA", at positions 332 to 798 of the family's 1533-position model. The record is from RNAcentral.
UACACUCCUGCGGGAGGCAACAGUGGGGAAUAUUGGACAAUGGGCGCAAGCCUGAUCCAGCCAUGCCGCGUGAGUGAUGAAGGCCCUAGGGUUGUAAAGCUCUUUCACCGGUGAAGAUAAUGACGGUAACCGGAGAAGAAGCCCCGGCUAACUUCGUGCCAGCAGCCGCGGUAAUACGAAGGGGGCUAGCGUUGUUCGGAUUUACUGGGCGUAAAGCGCACGUAGGCGGACUAUUAAGUCAGGGGUGAAAUCCCGGGGCUCAACCCCGGAACUGCCUUUGAUACUGGUAGUCUUGAGUUCGAGAGAGGUGAGUGGAAUUCCGAGUGUAGAGGUGAAAUUCGUAGAUAUUCGGAGGAACACCAGUGGCGAAGGCGGCUCACUGGCUCGAUACUGACGCUGAGGUGCGAAAGCGUGGGGAGCAAACAGGAUUAGAAACCCGUGUAGUCCCU